GGGUUGUGAGGUUAAGCGACUAAGCGUACACGGUGGAUGCCCUGGCAGUCAGAGGCGAUGAAGGACGUGCUAAUCUGCGAUAAGCGCCGGUAAGGUGAUAUGAACCGUUAUAACCGGCGAUUUCCGAAUGGGGAAACCCAGUGUGACUCGUCACACUAUCAUUAACUGAAUCCAUAGGUUAAUGAGGCGAACCGGGGGAACUGAAACAUCUAAGUACCCCGAGGAAAAGAAAUCAACCGAGAUUCCCCCAGUAGCGGCGAGCGAACGGGGAGGAGCCCAGAGCCUGAAUCAGCAUGUGUGUUAGUGGAAGCGUCUGGAAAGGCGCGCGAUACAGGGUGACAGCCCCGUACACAAAAGCGCAUGUGCUGUGAGCUCGAUGAGUAGGGCGGGACACGUGGUAUCCUGUCUGAAUAUGGGGGGACCAUCCUCCAAGGCUAAAUACUCCUGACUGACCGAUAGUGAACCAGUACCGUGAGGGAAAGGCGAAAAGAACCCCGGCGAGGGGAGUGAAAAAGAACCUGAAACCGUGUACGUACAAGCAGUGGGAGCCCCACCACUAAGCCAGUGGUGAACUCCACAUACGCAUCCUUUGCUGAUGGCAAUGGUUAACGGAGCGAAAGCGACGUUCAACCGCAAAACAAGCAGAGGGGGCUUAGUGGUGGGGUGACUGCGUACCUUUUGUAUAAUGGGUCAGCGACUUAUAUUCUGUAGCAAGGUUAACCGUAUAGGGGAGCCGCAGGGAAACCGAGUCUUAACCGGGCGUUAAGUUGCAGGGUAUAGACCCGAAACCCGGUGAUCUAGCCAUGGGCAGGUUGAAGGUUGGGUAACACUAACUGGAGGACCGAACCGACUAAUGUUGAAAAAUUAGCGGAUGACCUGUGGCUGGGGGUGAAAGGCCAAUCAAACCGGGAGAUAGCUGGUUCUCCCCGAAAGCUAUUUAGGUAGCGCCUCGUGAAUUCAUCUCCGGGGGUAGAGCACUGUUUCGGCUAGGGGGCCAUCCCGGCUUACCAACCCGAUGCAAACUGCGAAUACCGGAGAAUGUUAUCACGGGAGACACACGGCGGGUGCUAACGUCCGUCGUGAAGAGGGAAACAACCCAGACCGCCAGCUAAGGUCCCAAAGUCAUGGUUAAGUGGGAAACGAUGUGGGAAGGCCCAGACAGCCAGGAUGUUGGCUUAGAAGCAGCCAUCAUUUAAAGAAAGCGUAAUAGCUCACUGGUCGAGUCGGCCUGCGCGGAAGAUGUAACGGGGCUAAACCAUGCACCGAAGCUGCGGCAGCGACACUCAGGUGUUGUUGGGUAGGGGAGCGUUCUGUAAGCCUGCGAAGGUGGCCUGUGAGGGUUGCUGGAGGUAUCAGAAGUGCGAAUGCUGACAUAAGUAACGAUAAAGCGGGUGAAAAGCCCGCUCGCCGGAAGACCAAGGGUUCCUGUCCAACGUUAAUCGGGGCAGGGUGAGUCGACCCCUAAGGCGAGGCCGAAAGGCGUAGUCGAUGGGAAACGGGUUAAUAUUCCCGUACUUGGUGUUACUGCGAAGGGGGGACGGAGAAGGCUAUGUUGGCCGGGCGACGGUUGUCCCGGUUUAAGCGUGUAGGCUGGUUUUCCAGGCAAAUCCGGAAAAUCAAGGCUGAGGCGUGACGACGAGGCACUACGGUGCUGAAGCAACAAAUGCCCUGCUUCCAGGAAAAGCCUCUAAGCAUCAGGUAACAUCAAAUCGUACCCCAAACCGACACAGGUGGUCAGGUAGAGAAUACCAAGGCGCUUGAGAGAACUCGGGUGAAGGAACUAGGCAAAAUGGUGCCGUAACUUCGGGAGAAGGCACGCUGACACGUAGGUGAAGUGAUUUACUCAUGGAGCUGAAGUCAGUCGAAGAUACCAGCUGGCUGCAACUGUUUAUUAAAAACACAGCACUGUGCAAACACGAAAGUGGACGUAUACGGUGUGACGCCUGCCCGGUGCCGGAAGGUUAAUUGAUGGGGUCAGCGCAAGCGAAGCUCCUGAUCGAAGCCCCGGUAAACGGCGGCCGUAACUAUAACGGUCCUAAGGUAGCGAAAUUCCUUGUCGGGUAAGUUCCGACCUGCACGAAUGGCGUAAUGAUGGCCAGGCUGUCUCCACCCGAGACUCAGUGAAAUUGAACUCGCUGUGAAGAUGCAGUGUACCCGCGGCAAGACGGAAAGACCCCGUGAACCUUUACUAUAGCUUGACACUGAACAUUGAGCCUUGAUGUGUAGGAUAGGUGGGAGGCUUUGAAGUGUGGACGCCAGUCUGCAUGGAGCCGACCUUGAAAUACCACCCUUUAAUGUUUGAUGUUCUAACGUGGACCCGUAAUCCGGGUUGCGGACAGUGUCUGGUGGGUAGUUUGACUGGGGCGGUCUCCUCCUAAAGAGUAACGGAGGAGCACGAAGGUUGGCUAAUCCUGGUCGGACAUCAGGAGGUUAGUGCAAUGGCAUAAGCCAGCUUGACUGCGAGCGUGACGGCGCGAGCAGGUGCGAAAGCAGGUCAUAGUGAUCCGGUGGUUCUGAAUGGAAGGGCCAUCGCUCAACGGAUAAAAGGUACUCCGGGGAUAACAGGCUGAUACCGCCCAAGAGUUCAUAUCGACGGCGGUGUUUGGCACCUCGAUGUCGGCUCAUCACAUCCUGGGGCUGAAGUAGGUCCCAAGGGUAUGGCUGUUCGCCAUUUAAAGUGGUACGCGAGCUGGGUUUAGAACGUCGUGAGACAGUUCGGUCCCUAUCUGCCGUGGGCGCUGGAGAACUGAGGGGGGCUGCUCCUAGUACGAGAGGACCGGAGUGGACGCAUCACUGGUGUUCGGGUUGUCAUGCCAAUGGCACUGCCCGGUAGCUAAAUGCGGAAGAGAUAAGUGCUGAAAGCAUCUAAGCACGAAACUUGCCCCGAGAUGAGUUCUCCCUGAGACUUAAAGUCUCCUGAAGGAACGUUGAAGACGACGACGUUGAUAGGCCGGGUGUGUAAGCGCAGCGAUGCGUUGAGCUAACCGGUACUAAUGAACCGUGAGGCUUAACCUUACAACGCCGAAG
Molecule: ribosomal RNA, 3027 nt
Filed under: Salmonella enterica
Lineage: Bacteria; Pseudomonadati; Pseudomonadota; Gammaproteobacteria; Enterobacterales; Enterobacteriaceae
Description: bacterial LSU rRNA
Rfam family: Bacterial large subunit ribosomal RNA
Source: RNAcentral